This 606-nucleotide ribosomal RNA is filed under the name Triticum aestivum (bread wheat). RNAcentral's name for it is "partial small subunit ribosomal RNA". Lineage: Eukaryota; Viridiplantae; Streptophyta; Magnoliopsida; Poales; Poaceae. The record is from RNAcentral.
AUGGCCAAUGAGGGCCUGAUCCCUCAUGGAGCUACAAGGCUUCCGGGGAAAGAGUGGCAGCCCCAGCCGGAAGAGGGUGAGUGCGUGCUUCUGGCUACCCAUGUCGACCGCGGAUUUUCUUUGCCGCCGAGCAUUUUCUUCCGUGGUUUCUUGAAUUUCUUUGGAGCGCAACUCCACCACUUCACCCCGAAUUCUAUCGCCUAUCUUGUCGCAUUUGUGUUCAUGUGUGAGAGUUUUCUGGGUUGUCGACCGGAUUGGGGCUUGUUCAAGCACAUAUUCACGUGUCGCUCUCAGACCGUGAAGAAGGUGAGCCCAGGCGACGAAAAAACCCGAGUUGUCCAAAUGUGUGGGGGUCUGGGGAUCCAAGUGAGGAACAAGAGGACCUUCCCAGCCAUGACAUUUCCCGAGUCAGUCAGAGGCUGGCAGUCGACCUGGUUCUACUGCCAGGAUCAGUCGACACCGGGGCAGUCGAGUGGACUCCCUCAGUUCACCAUGGGCCGAGUGAACAAGCCCUCCUCUCUGAAGGUGAUUCCGGAGGAGAAAGCUGACGUGAAGAUGCUGAUGGAGCGUGUAGUUCAGUUGGUUCGGGAGGGAGUGACGGGUAUG